This 168-nucleotide non-coding RNA is filed under the name human gut metagenome. The record is from RNAcentral.
UAUUCCGGAUGACGGGAUAAACGGAUGAAAAGGGAAACAGGUGUGAAUCCUGUGCGAGCCCGUCGCUGUAAGAACGGAGUUUCUGUCAAGUUUGAUAUCCACUGGAUUUUUCCGGGAAGGAAGACAGAAAUGUUGAGGUUUGAGCCAGAAGACCUGCCUGCAAUGAAU